UACGUAGGGGGCAAGCGUUGUCCGGAUUUAUUGGGCGUAAAGAGCGUGUAGGCGGCCAUGUAGGUCCGUUGUGAAAACUCGAGGCUCAACCUCGAGACGCCGAUGGAAACCAUGUGGCUAGAGUCCGGAAGAGGAGAGUGGAAUUCCCGGUGUAGCGGUGAAAUGCGCAGAUAUCAGGAGGAACACCGGUGGCGAAGGCGGGUCUCUGGGCAGUAACUGACGCUGAGGAGCGAAAGCGUGGGGAGCGAACAGG
This 253-nucleotide ribosomal RNA is filed under the name uncultured bacterium. RNAcentral describes it as "partial 16S ribosomal RNA". It matches the Rfam family "Bacterial small subunit ribosomal RNA", at positions 524 to 776 of the family's 1533-position model. The record is from RNAcentral.